Molecule: ribosomal RNA, 468 nt
Filed under: uncultured bacterium
Lineage: Bacteria
Description: partial 16S ribosomal RNA
Rfam family: Bacterial small subunit ribosomal RNA
Source: RNAcentral
GACGAACGCUGGCGGCGUGCUUAACACAUGCAAGUCGAACGGAAAGGCCCUGCUUGCCGGGUGCUCGAGUGGCGAACGGGUGAGUAACACGUGGGUGAUCUGCCCCUUACUUUGGGAUAAGCCUGGGAAACUGGGUCUAAUACUGGAUAGGACCAUGCUGUAGGUGGUGUGGUGGAAAGAUUAGUUUCGGUAAGGGAUGAGCUCGCGGCCUAUCAGCUUGUUGGUGGGUAAUGGCCUACCAAGGCGUCGACGGGUAGCCGGCCUGAGAGGGUGGACGGCCACAUUGGGACUGAGAUACGGCCCAGACUCCUACGGGAGGCAGCAGUGGGGAAUAUUGCACAAUGGGCGCAAGCCUGAUGCAGCGACGCCGCGUGGGGGAUGACGGCCUUCGGGUUGUAAACUCCUUUCAGCCAUGACGAAGCCCUUGUGGUGACGGUAGUGGUAGAAGAUGCACCGGCUAACUACGUG